GGCUGGUCCAAGUGCAGUGGUAUCUAUAACAAAUUGGUCAUAACCAGUUAUAGAUUUCUUUGUUCCUUCUCCACUCCCACUGCUUCACUUGACUAUUAA
This 99-nucleotide Y RNA is filed under the name Propithecus coquereli (Coquerel's sifaka). RNAcentral's name for it is "Y RNA (ENSPCOG00000000851.1)". It matches the Rfam family "Y RNA". From Rfam's summary of the family: Y RNAs are components of the Ro ribonucleoprotein particle (Ro RNP), in association with Ro60 and La proteins. Lineage: Eukaryota; Metazoa; Chordata; Mammalia; Primates; Indriidae. The record is from Rfam by way of RNAcentral.